Molecule: ribosomal RNA, 301 nt
Filed under: uncultured bacterium
Lineage: Bacteria
Description: partial 16S ribosomal RNA
Rfam family: Bacterial small subunit ribosomal RNA
Source: RNAcentral
CAGCAGCCGCGGUAAUACGUAGGUGGCAAGCGUUGUCCGGAAUUAUUGGGCGUAAAGGGCUCGCAGGCGGUUUCUUAAGUCUGAUGUGAAAGCCCCCGGCUCAACCGGGGAGGGUCAUUGGAAACUGGGAAACUUGAGUGCAGAAGAGGAGAGUGGAAUUCCACGUGUAGCGGUGAAAUGCGUAGAGAUGUGGAGGAACACCAGUGGCGAAGGCGACUCUCUGGUCUGUAACUGACGCUGAGGCACGAAAGCGUGGGGAGCAAACAGGAUUAGAUACCCCCGUAGUCCCUGUCUCUUAUAC